UACGUAGGCAGCGAGCGUUGUUCGGAGUUACUGGGCGUAAAGAGUGCGUAGGCGGUGGCCUAAGUCUGGUGUGAAAUCUCCCGGCUCAACUGGGAGGGUGCGCCGGAAACUGGGUUGCUAGAGUGUGGGAGAGGCUAGCGGAAUUCCUGGUGUAGCGGUGAAAUGCGUAGAUAUCAGGAGGAACACCUGCGGUGUAGACGGCUGGCUGGACCACUACUGACGCUGAGGCACGAAAGCGUGGGGAGCAAACAGG
This 253-nucleotide ribosomal RNA is filed under the name uncultured Acidobacteriota bacterium. Its description in RNAcentral is "uncultured Acidobacteria bacterium partial 16S ribosomal RNA". It matches the Rfam family "Bacterial small subunit ribosomal RNA", at positions 524 to 776 of the family's 1533-position model. Lineage: Bacteria; Pseudomonadati; Acidobacteriota. The record is from RNAcentral.